Non-coding RNA from Elaeis guineensis (African oil palm), 115 nucleotides. The record is from RefSeq and is a predicted model, not a curated record. NCBI's taxonomy places the organism in Eukaryota, Viridiplantae, Streptophyta, Magnoliopsida, Arecales, Arecaceae.
AGCUGCGUGGUGGCGCAGAGCGAAUUAUUCUUUCGCCUUUUACUAAAGAAUACCGUGUGCCCGCCACUUAAAGCAGCAUACGUCAAUUUUUUGUGUGGCCUCUUUCCUAUGUAAA